UAACUACUCCCUCCGUCCCAAAAUAAGUGACUCAAAAAUGACUCAGCUUUGUACUAACUUUAGUACAAAGUUGUGUCACUUUUGAGUCAUUUACUUUGGGACGGAGGGAGUAUUAU
Non-coding RNA from Hordeum vulgare subsp. vulgare (domesticated barley), 116 nucleotides. Lineage: Eukaryota; Viridiplantae; Streptophyta; Magnoliopsida; Poales; Poaceae. The record is from Rfam.